RNAcentral lists this ribosomal RNA (504 nucleotides) under uncultured bacterium. Its description in RNAcentral is "bacterial SSU rRNA". It matches the Rfam family "Bacterial small subunit ribosomal RNA", at positions 10 to 507 of the family's 1533-position model. The record is from RNAcentral.
AGUUUGAUCCUGGCUCAGAUUGAACGCUGGCGGCAUGCCUUACACAUGCAAGUCGAACGGCAGCACGGGAGCUUGCUCCUGGUGGCGAGUGGCGAACGGGUGAGUAAUACAUCGGAACGUACCCUGAAGUGGGGGAUAACGUAGCGAAAGUUACGCUAAUACCGCAUAUUCUGUGAGCAGGAAAGAGGGGGAUCGCAAGACCUCUUGCUUUAGGAGCGGCCGAUGUCGGAUUAGCUAGUUGGUGAGGUAAAGGCUCACCAAGGCGACGAUCCGUAGCGGGUCUGAGAGGAUGAUUCGCCACACUGGGACUGAGACACGGCCCAGACUCCUACGGGAGGCAGCAGUGGGGAAUUUUGGACAAUGGGCGCAAGCCUGAUCCAGCCAUGCCGCGUGAGUGAAGAAGGCCUUCGGGUUGUAAAGCUCUUUCGGUGGGGAAGAAAUUGCUUCGGUUAAUACCUGGAGUAGAUGACGGUACCCGCAUAAGAAGCACCGGCUAACUACGUG